Molecule: ribosomal RNA, 253 nt
Filed under: uncultured bacterium
Lineage: Bacteria
Description: partial 16S ribosomal RNA
Rfam family: Bacterial small subunit ribosomal RNA
Source: RNAcentral
UACAGAGGUCUCAAGCGUUGUUCGGAUUCAUUGGGCGUAAAGGGUGCGUAGGCGGCGCGGUAAGUCGGGUGUGAAAUCUUGGAGCUUAACUCCGGAACUGCAUUUGAUACUGGCGUGCUUGAGGACUGGAGAGGGGACUGGAAUUCAUGGUGUAGCAGUGAAAUGCGUAGAGAUCAUGAGGAAGACCAGUGGCGAAGGCGGGUCUCUGGACAGUUCCUGACACUGAGGCACGAAGGCCAGGGGAGCAAACGGG